GAUGAACGCUGGCGGCGUGCCUAAUACAUGCAAGUCGAGCGAACGGACGAGAAGCUUGCUUUUCUGAUGUUAGCGGCGGACGGGUGAGUAACACGUGGAUAACCUACCUAUAAGACUGGGAGAACUUCGGGAAACCGGAGCUAAUACCGGAUAAUAUUUUGAACCGCAUGGUUCAAAAGUGAAAGACGGUCUUGCUGUCACUUAUAGAUGGAUCCGCGCUGCAUUAGCUAGUUGGUAAGGUAACGGCCUACCAAGGCAACGAUGCAUAGCCGACCUGAGAGGGUGAUCGGCCACACUGGAACUGAGACACGGUCCAGACUCCUACGGGAGGCAGCAGUGGGGAAUCUUCCGCAAUGGGCGCAAGCCUGACGGAGCAACGCCGCGUGAGUGAUGAAGGUCUUCGGGUCGUAAAACUCUGUUAUUAGGGAAGAACAUAUGUGUAAGUAACUGUGCACAUCUUGACGGUACCUAAUCAGAAAGCCCCGGCUAACUACGUG
This 497-nucleotide ribosomal RNA is filed under the name uncultured bacterium. RNAcentral's name for it is "partial 16S ribosomal RNA". It matches the Rfam family "Bacterial small subunit ribosomal RNA", at positions 28 to 507 of the family's 1533-position model. The record is from RNAcentral.